RNAcentral lists this ribosomal RNA (235 nucleotides) under uncultured Enterobacterales bacterium. RNAcentral's name for it is "partial 16S ribosomal RNA". It matches the Rfam family "Bacterial small subunit ribosomal RNA", at positions 96 to 334 of the family's 1533-position model. Lineage: Bacteria; Pseudomonadati; Pseudomonadota; Gammaproteobacteria; Enterobacterales. The record is from RNAcentral.
UGGCGGACGGGUGAGUAAUGUCUGGGAAACUGCCUGAUGGAGGGGGAUAACUACUGGAAACGGUAGCUAAUACCGCAUAACGUCGCAAGACCAAAGAGGGGGACCUUCGGGCCUCUUGCCAUCGGAUGUGCCCAGAUGGGAUUAGCUUGUUGGUGGGGUAACGGCUCACCAAGGCGACGAUCCCUAGCUGGUCUGAGAGGAUGACCAGCCACACUGGAACUGAGACACGGUCCAG